Molecule: unclassified non-coding RNA, 317 nt
Filed under: uncultured fungus
Lineage: Eukaryota; Fungi
Description: partial contains small subunit ribosomal RNA, internal transcribed spacer 1, and 5.8S ribosomal RNA
Rfam family: Eukaryotic small subunit ribosomal RNA (bases 1-73)
Source: RNAcentral
ACAAACUUGGUCAUUUAGAGGAAGUAAAAGUCGUAACAAGGUUUCCGUAGGUGAACCUGCGGAAGGAUCAUUACUGAGGUUAUUAGACUUAGAGAGAUAUUUAGGUCACCUCCCACCCUAUGUAUAUUGAUUUGAUUUUUGUAAGCUAAUAUUGUUGGAAUUUGGGUAUCAAGUUCUCUCAUAUUAGUUUACUUAAAACUCUUUAAAAGAAUCAAUUCAUAAUCCAUCAUUAUAUGAUGGAUAAUUAUACCGAAUUGAUAAAAGCAAAAACUUUCAACAACGGAUCUCUUGGUUCUGGCAUCGAUGAAGAACGCAGC